GACGAACGCUGGCGGCGUGCUUAACACAUGCAAGUCGAACGGAAAGGCCCUGCUUUUGUGGGGUGCUCGAGUGGCGAACGGGUGAGUAACACGUGAGUAACCUGCCCUUGACUUUGGGAUAACUUCAGGAAACUGGGGCUAAUACCGGAUAGGAGCUCCUGCUGCAUGGUGGGGGUUGGAAAGUUUCGGCGGUUGGGGUUGGACUCGCGGCUUAUCAGCUUGUUGGUGGGGUAGUGGCUUACCAAGGCUUUGACGGGUAGCCGGCCUGAGAGGGUGACCGGCCACAUUGGGACUGAGAUACGGCCCAGACUCCUACGGGAGGCAGCAGUGGGGAAUAUUGCACAAUGGGCGGGAGCCUGAUGCAGCAACGCCGCGUGCGGGAUGACGGCCUUCGGGUUGUAAACCGCUUUCGCCUGUGACGAAGCGUGAGUGACGGUAAUGGGUAAAGAAGCACCGGCUAACUACGUG
This 468-nucleotide ribosomal RNA is filed under the name uncultured bacterium. RNAcentral's name for it is "partial 16S ribosomal RNA". It matches the Rfam family "Bacterial small subunit ribosomal RNA", at positions 28 to 507 of the family's 1533-position model. The record is from RNAcentral.